UACGUAGGGGGCAAGCGUUGUCCGGAUUUAUUGGGCGUAAAGAGCUCGUAGGCGGUUUGGUAAGUCAGGUGUGAAAUCUCCACGCUCAACGUGGAGGGGCCACCUGAUACUGCCAUGACUGGAGUCCGGUAGAGGAGUGUGGAAUUCCCGGUGUAGCGGUGAAAUGCGCAGAUAUCGGGAGGAACACCUGAGGCGAAGGCGGGCUACUGGGCCGAUACUGACGCUGAUGCGCGAAAGCCAGGGGAGCGAACGGG
Molecule: ribosomal RNA, 254 nt
Filed under: uncultured bacterium
Lineage: Bacteria
Description: partial 16S ribosomal RNA
Rfam family: Bacterial small subunit ribosomal RNA
Source: RNAcentral